AGAGUUUGAUCAUGGCUCAGGAUGAACCCUGGCGGUCUGCUUAACACAUGCAAGUCGAACGGAAUCCUUAGGGAUUUAGUGGCGGACGGGUGAGUAACACGUAAGAACCUGCCUCUUGGACGGGGACAACAGUUGGAAACGGCUGCUAAUCCCGGAUAAGCCGAAAGGUAAAAGAUUUAUCGCCAAGAGAGGGGCUUGCGUCUGAUUAGCUAGUUGGUAGGGUAAGAGCCUACCAAGGCGACGAUCAGUAGCUGGUCUGAGAGGAUGAUCAGCCACACUGGGACUGAGACACGGCCCAGACUCCUACGGGAGGCAGCAGUGGGGAAUUUUCCGCAAUGGGCGAAAGCCUGACGGAGCAAGACCGCGUGGGGGAGGAAGGUUCUUGGAUUGUCAACCCCUUUUCUCAGGGAAGAAGAAAGUGACGGUACCUGAGGAAUCAGCAUCGGUUAACUCCGUGCCAGCAGCCGCGGUAAUACGGAGGAUGCAAGCGUUAUCCGGAA
This 500-nucleotide ribosomal RNA is filed under the name uncultured bacterium. RNAcentral's name for it is "bacterial SSU rRNA". It matches the Rfam family "Bacterial small subunit ribosomal RNA", at positions 8 to 550 of the family's 1533-position model. The record is from RNAcentral.